This is a non-coding RNA of Trichonephila inaurata madagascariensis, 73 nucleotides long. Lineage: Eukaryota; Metazoa; Arthropoda; Arachnida; Araneae; Nephilidae. The record is from the annotation of a GenBank genome assembly.
GUCUCUGUAACGCAAAGGAUAGCGCAUUGGACUUCUAAUUCAAAGGUCGUGAGUACGAAUCCCACCUGGGAUU